GACUUCCAGCUGGAGCAGCCCAGCCUGCCCGCGCAUUCGCUUGCUCGCGCUAGGUUUAAGAGCGCGGGGGUGGGUUUCUUUUUUUCUUUCUUUCUCUCUCUUUUUUUUCAGUCUCCUGCGGGUUCCCCUGCCGGGAAAUGCAUUCGCUCUAGUUUUCUAGGGCUCUGGUCCCAGUUCCUUCUGAAGCGCGUUUGCAGACUCCUUUCCUCGGUCGCGGUCUCGCUGGGCUCUGUGUUUUGCCGGGCAACAGCCCAUGCUAGGCUCGGCAGACCUACUGGCGAUCAGGGUUCAGCCCUUGCAGCGCUGACACCUGCAGAGUCGAGGUUCCUGCCAAAAAGCGUAAAGCAAAGGAGGAAAAAUUCACUGUCAUAAUACCGAAAAUGAUAAACCUCAGCUGUCUUUCAGAAGAAUGUCUGACUGCAUUUUUGGAAGCCCACAACUGAGGACUAAGUGAAACCCUCCCAUGGAUAGCAUAAAUCAGCGUUUUUGAAGCUGCUCAUCUGCAGGAUCAAUGAGCCCAGAAGAUGCAAACUCCCUUCUCAGCUCUUGCAAAAAUACCUCCAGUAAAAACAAGCACUUUGGCUCUUUUCUACUUUCUGUUAGUCCAGAUUUUAGCAUAUCCUUCUUUGCUUUUUAAUUUAUUGUUUAUAUAUUUGGUCCCAUCCUCAAACAGAUUUUAAACCCUUUGAAGGCAGAGAAUGGCUUUCCUAAACUUUUAAUCUCCUGGUUCAGCUGAACAGUU
RNAcentral lists this long non-coding RNA (742 nucleotides) under Equus asinus (donkey). RNAcentral describes it as "lncRNA (ENSEASG00005027526.1)". The record is from RNAcentral. Lineage: Eukaryota; Metazoa; Chordata; Mammalia; Perissodactyla; Equidae.